RNAcentral lists this transfer RNA (66 nucleotides) under marine eukaryotic metagenome. It matches the Rfam family "tRNA". From Rfam's summary of the family: Transfer RNA (tRNA) molecules are approximately 80 nucleotides in length. The record is from RNAcentral.
AGUGUAGCUCAGAUGGAAGAGCAGCGGUCUCCAAAACCGCAGGUCGGGGGUUCGAAUCCUCCCACU